GAUGAACGCUGGCGGCGUGCCUAAUACAUGCAAGUCGAGCGAACAGACGAGGAGCUUGCUCCUCUGACGUUAGCGGCGGACGGGUGAGUAACACGUGGAUAACCUACCUAUAAGACUGGGAUAACUUCGGGAAACCGGAGCUAAUACCGGAUAAUAUAUUGAACCGCAUGGUUCAAUAGUGAAAGACGGUUUUGCUGUCACUUAUAGAUGGAUCCGCGCCGCAUUAGCUAGUUGGUAAGGUAACGGCUUACCAAGGCAACGAUGCGUAGCCGACCUGAGAGGGUGAUCGGCCACACUGGAACUGAGACACGGUCCAGACUCCUACGGGACGCAGCAGUAGGGAAUCUUCCGCAAUGGGCGAAAGCUUGACGGAGCAACGCCGCGUGAGUGAUGAAGGUCUUCGGAUCGUAAAACUCUGUUAUUAGGGAAGAACAAAUGUGUAAGUAACUAUGCCCGUCUUGACGGUACCUAAUCAGAAAGCCACGGCUAACUACGUG
This 497-nucleotide ribosomal RNA is filed under the name uncultured bacterium. RNAcentral's name for it is "partial 16S ribosomal RNA". It matches the Rfam family "Bacterial small subunit ribosomal RNA", at positions 28 to 507 of the family's 1533-position model. The record is from RNAcentral.